RNAcentral lists this ribosomal RNA (460 nucleotides) under uncultured bacterium. RNAcentral's name for it is "partial 16S ribosomal RNA". It matches the Rfam family "Bacterial small subunit ribosomal RNA", at positions 338 to 795 of the family's 1533-position model. The record is from RNAcentral.
CCUACGGGAGGCAGCAGUGAGGAAUAUUGGUCAAUGGGCAGAAGUCUGAACCAGCCAAGUAGCGUGCAGGAUGACGGCCCUACGGGUUGUAAACUUCUUUUAUACGGGAAUAACACGCCUUACGUGUGGGACUUUGCAUGUACCAUAUGAAUAAGGAUCGGCUAACUCCGUGCCAGCAGCCGCGGUAAUACGGAUGGUCCGGGCGUUAUCCGGAUUUAUUUGGUUUAAAGGGAGCGUAGGUGGAUGGUUAAGGACGUUGUGAAAGUUUCGGGCUCAACCCGAAAAUUGCAGGUGAAACUGGCAGUCUUGAGUAGAGUAGAAGUGGGCGGAAGUCGUGGUGUAGCGGUGAAAUGCUUAGAUAUCACGAAGAACGCCGAUUGCGAAGGCAGCUCACUGGACCGCAACUGACACUGAGGCUCGAAAGUGUGGGUAUCAAACAGGAUUAGAUACCCCUGUAGUC